Molecule: ribosomal RNA, 253 nt
Filed under: uncultured bacterium
Lineage: Bacteria
Description: partial 16S ribosomal RNA
Rfam family: Bacterial small subunit ribosomal RNA
Source: RNAcentral
UACAGAGGUCUCAAGCGUUGUUCGGAUUCAUUGGGCGUAAAGGGUGCGUAGGCGGCUCGUUAAGUCGGGUGUGAAAUCUUGGAGCUUAACUCCGAAACUGCAUUCGAUACUGCCGUGCUUGAGGACUGGAGAGGAGACUGGAAUUUACGGUGUAGCGGUGAAAUGCGUAGAUAUCGGAAGGAAGACCAGUGGCGAAGGCGGGUCUCUGGACAGUUCCUGACACUGAGACACGAAGGCCAGGGGAGCAAACGGG